RNAcentral lists this unclassified non-coding RNA (245 nucleotides) under plant metagenome. RNAcentral's name for it is "partial contains small subunit ribosomal RNA, internal transcribed spacer 1, and 5.8S ribosomal RNA". The stretch from base 197 to 245 matches the Rfam family "5.8S ribosomal RNA", at positions 1 to 49 of the family's 154-position model. The record is from RNAcentral.
UCUCCGUUGGUGAACCAGCGGAGGGAUCAUUACAGGACUCGCAAGACUCCUACAACCCUGUGAACUUAACUAUAAGCACGUUGCUUCGGCGGGUGUCUCGGAGGGGGUUCUCCCUCCCCGAGACGCUAAACCCGCCGGCAGCCUACUAUACUCUGUCUCUUUGCGUUGGCAUCUCGAGUACAAUCAAACAAGUUAAAACUUUCAACAACGGAUCUCUUGGUUCUGGCAUCGAUGAAAAACGCAGC